Molecule: long non-coding RNA, 4057 nt
Organism: Puntigrus tetrazona (Sumatra barb)
Lineage: Eukaryota; Metazoa; Chordata; Actinopteri; Cypriniformes; Cyprinidae
Exons: 3
Source: RefSeq, a predicted model, not a curated record
AGUGAACGUGCACCAAUAAAGAAAACAUUGAAACAUUUAUUAAUAUUAACGCGAAUUUCAACAUUUAGCCUACUAAGUCAUUUGUAUAUCAUAAUGUGUUCUACACGAUUAAUCAGUGAUUAAGCGAUAAACUCUUUUAAUUUGAGGGAAAUCUAAGUAUUUUUGGUUAGUAAGAGCCCUUAUAUAAACGUGAACUAAUAAAGAAAUUACCUAAGCAUUUAUUAAUCUAAAGCUAAUUUCAACAUUUAGCCUACUAUGUUAUUAAAAUGAAAAAAAUGUAAAUGCUAAAAUUAUCUGACUUAAGCUAACAUACACAACUCUCAAUGGAGUUGUAUUAUUAUUAGUAGUAGUAAAAUGUAUUUUUAUAGACUUAUAUUAAUGCAAUAAGUGUUCUAUAAGAAGUUUUAAGAAUAAAUUACUAAGUCUGUUUGUUGUUUGUAGAUGUCACUCGGCUUUAUCCAACAUUCGAAACAUUUUAGGACAUUCAAACAUUUUAACCAAUGUUUAGCGUCCGAAUACAUUCGCAUAACCACAGUCUAAUACCUCGUCAAGCUUUGACAAUGAUAAGAUUAUUUGGAUUACGUUUGUUUCGUAUUCCCAAAUACACGGCUCAGAAAUAGUUUAACCUGAAACUAGAGGCCUAUUUGUUCACCUCAUCUGCACUUUGUUAUUGGCCGCUCCGAGUUUUUUGCAUACAGCCGUAGAGAGAGAAUGAGUGUUGGACGAAGACAGCGUUCUCCAGAUAAGCAGGAGUGAAAUAGGAUGAUGCACUGUCAUGGCUAUCCUGUUUCUGUCUCUUCUGUCUCUUUGCUCUUGUCACGAUGAACUUUUCACUUCAGCACCUGAAAAUGCUUCUGAAAUGAAUAUGCAUUGCCGCGCUUUGGCACUGUGGUGUACAGUGUAGCAUAUUUGUCAUUUUGGGUUUUGAGAAAUAUCACUCGGUUUGUGUUUAAAGAAUACGUUCAUAUUUCAACUAGUAUGUUUGCGUUCGUUUGCAGAGACACACCUUCUACAUCCAGCAGGCACCAGCUAAGAUGUUUACAUGCUUUAGAAGUCCGCAGUGAGCGAGACGGUGGACCAGGGGGUCUUGAGCGUGCCGUGACAGUAAAUGAAACCAUCUGUCUGUCAUAACAAGUCUACGAUGUAGGUCGUCUCUUAACUGGCUGGUCGCUUAAGGCCAGAGAUGUUGGACAGAAUGGAUGCAGAAGUGUGUGGCCACGAUUCUCGCCCAAACCAGGGCAUCCGAACCAGAUGAAGCAGAACUUAGCCAAGACUCUCCAGGAGCUGAUACCGGCUGUGUCCUCAAAAUACAUGAGGUGGGCCUUAGUUGCCAACACCCCACCACCAGAAGGACUCCACGCUCUGUCCUGGUCCACCUGCUUCUCUCUCAGUGCAGCCAGAUUGGCUCUAGGGAGGAUCCCUCACCUGUAAUGCUCUGAUAACUGCUCUGAAGAAGAAAGAAACACAAUGAGGCUUGUUCACUUGUUCAAAACAUCUGGCCAAAUGAAGGGUUGGGGGCACAGGGGCCUAAAUAACAGAAGGUUCUACAUAUAAAUGAAUGGAACCAGUUCACACAAUUUUUAAAGACUAGGAAAAUACAACAGUAGAAUAUGUUAAUUACGUGGUAAGAAAAACUCUAAUGUAAUGGAGCAUUUCAUAUAAUAUUACAGUAAAAAAAAAUUUAAACGUACAGAAAUCUUAUUACUUACCAAACUUGACACCUCACAUUUUAGUUUUGCAUUCAUUUAACUGUUUCUUCUUGGUUUUUCAGUUAUGUACAUUGGGUUUAAGAUGACAUCUUAUGUCGUUAAACUAAGGUAUAUUGCAUUUUUUUAGGGUCAUGUGUUUUUGUGGAAAAUCUGCUGAGCUUAGAUUGUACAUGUGGCUUUCUAAUUACCCCCCACCUUGUGUGUGUGUGUGUGUGUGUGUGUGUGGUUGUCAGUGUAUAAAAGAGGUACUUCAUUUUAGCACUUCAUUUUUGGAGGAAAAUGUUAAGUUUAAUCCAUAAAACCUAAAUGUCGCUACAAUACUUUUUAUGGUAACUUUCUGGCCAACACAGCUACUGUAGUUUUACUGUAAAUUUUAAGACUGUUAAAUUCUUUCAAAAUUGUACAUGAAAUAUUAUACCAGUCCAAAUAUUCCAGAUUUGAUUGAGAUCAUUUGUUAUAUAGUUUUUGGGUUUGAGGGCUUUGUAUCUCCCUGCUAUAUUUCAAAUAUUUCAUUUUAAAGCAAAUGACUUUUUUGACCUUUAAGCGUUGCUGUCGAACUUCACUGAACUUUACUGGCGUCCACUUUAACUUCUCUCUCUUUUUUCAGUUGAGAGUCUUAGAAGACAGCUUACAGCAGACAGCUUAAUUUGUUUCCGUAAAGCCUCGGCAAAUCUAGGCAAAUUAAUUUUUCAUCUACAGUAAUGGCUUGAGUGCUGAAUACUGUUUUAUGUUAAUGUAUUUAAAACGCCAACUAUCAGGAAAAGCUGACAAGAAAUUGGUUUGACUCGAUAACAGAUGCUUGUGGCGUGUGAGCAUUAAUUAAAUCAAGGAGAAUUGAAAAAGAAAAAACUAUAUUUACCGUUGUAAACCACAUUUUAUAUAUUAUUUUUAAAGUCACACAAACGAUUCCUCUGAAGUCAGUGCCAGCUCUAGUUUCGACUGAGCUGUGAGGUGUACAGUACAUCGAUGUGAAUUUAAAUAACUCCAUCUCGGCGAGAGGAUAUGGAGAUAGCAUCAAAUUAAAGGAACAGAAACUUACUUUGUGCAAGAGGAAGUUUCAACAUUCAUCUCAUUUGGCACAUAGUUGCUAUGGGGAAAAACAGCAGUGCAAUAAUUAACAGUUUGGUGUAUAAUAAAAGAAAAGGAUUUUGACCCUCAGAAUUCGUUAGGACUAUUAGGCUUGUUUUAUAGUCUAAAUCGAUUAGUAAGUCGUAUGUAGACGCUAUAAAAGGGAACAGGAACUAUUGUGUCUUUUAGUAAAAAUGAAACCAAAUCUUUGAGAGGGGAGUGAUUCCUCAGAGAAAGCUGCGCCGCUUAUGUCUAUAUAUCAGCAGUAAUGGGAAGACACACCUAAUGCUACAGACAUUACAUCAGAACGACCAGCUCUCACAGAAACCACAGACACACACAGAGAAACUCUUACUGUAGUUAUUCUGUGUGAGCCUGGUUUUCAGUAAAUGAAUCAGUGAAAGAUUUUAAAUUAACUAAAAGCACAUGCAAUCCAAUUAAUUCUAUGGAAGACCUAAAAUGUAAUUAUUGCCGUUCCAAAUCAGUAUGAUUUUCUUUCUUUCUUUCUUUGGGAAACAUGGAUUAAAUAUACCAUAAAUCUAAUAUGGUGUUCCGCGAGCAGCAUUUGCGAUGAAUGCGCACCAGUAAGUAAAUUUCCAAAGCGUCUUAAAACAUCUCCCAGAAAGGCAUUCUGUGUAGUGAACAUUUCAGAAAUGCUGCAGGCACAGCCAUCCCUGCUUCUAUUCAAGUCCAGGAGCCCGGGGCGGUUCUGCUGUGGGCAUCUCCAGAUCACUGGCCCUUUAUGCUAAUAAACAUCAAUCAGACAGUCUCCUAUGAUUCACACUGCAGUUCACCGAAUCAAGUCAAGUUCAAACCGCUAAAGGGUUCAAUUGAGGAUUGGAAAACUCUAACAAAGCUCUGUGAGAAGAAAAACAAAUCACAUUUUGACGUCCUGUUCCACGCGCCAAAGUUUCACUCUGGUUUUUCUAUCGACGUCGGGGUUGUUAAUUUUACCUCAGGCAGGGGUGCUAUGUCCCAAAUAUUCCAAACGCCCACUUUGUCUGACUUCUGCCCAGUCCGCUCUUUGAAAUCCAGUGUGGUUUCAGAUGCUACCGUCUACUGAAUAUGUACAGUACAAACAAGGGUGAGGAAUUUAGUAGGGACAAUAGAUAUAUGUCCCUAUCGACAUCCAGUUUAAAAUCCAAUUUCAAAACUGAAUCAUUUGCAAUGCUCACCCUGAAAGGAAUAGUUUACUCAAAAAUUUUAAUUCUGUCAAUCGUUUAGUCGUCCUCGAGUAGUUUCAAAUCUGUAUCAAUUUCUUUGUUCUGCCGAAAACAGAA